AGCGAACGCUGGCGGCAGGCCUAACACAUGCAAGUCGAACGAACCUUUCGGGGUUAGUGGCGGACGGGUGAGUAACACGUGGGAACGUGCCUUUAGGUUCGGAAUAACUCAGGGAAACUUGUGCUAAUACCGAAUGUGCCCUUCGGGGGAAAGAUUUAUCGCCUUUAGAGCGGCCCGCGUCUGAUUAGCUAGUUGGUUGAGGUAAUGGCUCACCAAGGCGACGAUCAGUAGCUGGUCUGAGAGGAUGAUCAGCCACAUUGGGACUGAGGCACGGCCCAAACUCCUACGGGAGGCAGCAGUGGGGAAUCUUGCGCAAUGGGCGAAAGCCUGACGCAGCCAUGCCGCGUGAAUGAUGAAGGUCUUAGGAUUGUAAAAUUCUUUCACCGGGGACGAUAAUGACGGUACCCGGAGAAGAAGCCUCGGCUAACUUCGUG
RNAcentral lists this ribosomal RNA (434 nucleotides) under uncultured bacterium. RNAcentral's name for it is "partial 16S ribosomal RNA". It matches the Rfam family "Bacterial small subunit ribosomal RNA", at positions 29 to 507 of the family's 1533-position model. The record is from RNAcentral.